CCAACUAUAAGUUGAUUGAAUUUUUGACUGUGCGGAGAGUUGACACCUCUAACCCUUCCUCCCUCCAUCCCUCGUGGUUGUUGAAGGUUCAACCCUAAUGUGCUUCUGGUCAGUGACAAGUGACACUUUGGAUUUACCUAUUAGAGAAGACUAUUGGCUCUCAACCAGAAUGUUUUCUAAACUCUUCCAUAUACAAGGAGAGCAAAAUCAUGUUAUAACAUCCUUGAAAAUUGAAGACCCGCCUUAAGCAUUUCUGUUGACUUGGAAACUGCAGUCCAUUCCAUUGUCAGACAGUUCUGAAGAUAGGAAGUUCUUAAUACUGAAACCAACUCUGGUCUCCUCAUUCCUCAAGCAACUCUAGUCUGGCUCUUUUCCUCACCAUUCCUCCAA
Molecule: long non-coding RNA, 390 nt
Filed under: Sus scrofa (pig)
Lineage: Eukaryota; Metazoa; Chordata; Mammalia; Artiodactyla; Suidae
Description: lncRNA (ENSSSCG00070025350.1)
Source: RNAcentral